GCAGUUCCUUGCCAAUUUUUGAUAGCAUUGUGUUCAUCCAUUUUCUCAGGCAGGGACUACAGGAAAUGAAGGUGAUCUUGUGGGGAUUUUGGAGAGAAUUUAAUGAAGAGGCUGUUUACCAAGGAUCUCUCUCUGUCUCCGAGGCUGGAGUGCAAUGGUGCAAUUAGGGCUCACUGCAGCCUCGACCUCCUGGGCCCAACUGAUCUUCCUACCACAGCCUCAUGAGUAACUGGGACUACAGAAGACCAUGGGCAUUUUUUCUAUGCAACUACAGAUAGUAUCCCAUGAUGUGAAUGGCCCUGGAUUUACUUACACAUCCUCCUUUUGAUGAGCAAGCACUGGUUCUGGUGGACACUGAGAGUCAAUUUUUAUUUGCUGCAUGUGGAAAGGACAACAACAUACCUGGACAGAAAUGCCUCAAGGAUGUACUGAAGGCCCCUGUCACUUUUCACAGCCAUAACUGUAAGUUUCCUGAGGCCUCUCCAGAAGCCAAGCCGAUGCCGCUAUGCUUCCUGAACAGCCCACAGAACUAGGCGGGGUCUCACCAUGUUAGCCAGUAUGGUCUCGAUCUCCUGACCUCGUGAUCCACCUGCCUCGGCCUCCCAAAGUGCUGGGAUUACAGGCGUGAGCCACUGCACCUGGCCGAUGGUCUUCCAGUUU
RNAcentral lists this small RNA (660 nucleotides) under Pongo abelii (Sumatran orangutan). RNAcentral's name for it is "sense overlapping". The record is from RNAcentral. Lineage: Eukaryota; Metazoa; Chordata; Mammalia; Primates; Hominidae.